GAUGAACGCUGGCGGCGUGCCUAAUACAUGCAAGUCGAGCGAACGGACGAGAAGCUUGCUUCUCUGAUGUUAGCGGCGGACGGGUGAGUAACACGUGGAUAACCUACCUAUAAGACUGGGAUAACUUCGGGAAACCGGAGCUAAUACCGGAUAAUAUUUUGAACCGCAUGGUUCAAAAGUGAAAGACGGUCUUGCUGUCACUUAUAGAUGGAUCCGCGCUGCAUUAGCUAGUUGGUAAGGUAACGGCUUACCAAGGCAACGAUGCAUAGCCGACCUGAGAGGGUGAUCGGCCACACUGGAACUGAGACACAGUCCAGACUCCUACGGGAGGCAACAGUAGGGAAUCUUCCGCAAUGGGCGAAAGCCUGACGGAGCAACGCCGCGUGAGUGAUGAAGGUCUUCGGAUCGUAAAACUCUGUUAUUAGGGAAGAACAUAUGUGUAAGUAACUGUGCACAUCUUGACGGUACCUAAUCAGAAAGCCACGGCUAACUACGUG
This 497-nucleotide ribosomal RNA is filed under the name uncultured bacterium. Its description in RNAcentral is "partial 16S ribosomal RNA". It matches the Rfam family "Bacterial small subunit ribosomal RNA", at positions 28 to 507 of the family's 1533-position model. The record is from RNAcentral.